This 337-nucleotide ribosomal RNA is filed under the name uncultured bacterium. RNAcentral's name for it is "bacterial SSU rRNA". It matches the Rfam family "Bacterial small subunit ribosomal RNA", at positions 30 to 363 of the family's 1533-position model. The record is from RNAcentral.
AGCGAACGCUGGCGGCAUGCCUAACACAUGCAAGUCUGACGGGCCUGGGGCUUGCUCCGGGUCAGUGGCGGACGGGUGAGGAACGCGUAGGAACGUAUCCAAGGGUGGGGAUAACCGCGGGAAACUGCGGCUAAUACCGCAUGGGGCCUCAAGGGAGACCUGGGGCCAAAGGCUGAGGGAAACCUUGGUCGCCGAUGGAGCGGCCUGCGUCCGAUUAGCUAGUUGGUGGGGUGACGGCUUACCAAGGCUACGAUCGGUAGCUGGUCUGAGAGGAUGAUCAGCCACACUGGGACUGAGACACGGCCCAGACUCCUACGGGAGGCAGCAGUGGGGAGUA